AGUUAACACCAUCUGUAAGUCAAGUACUCAUUCAGGUAGCAGAGACAGACAAAAAAAAAAAAAAACUUGGUUUUUCCUCAACUAAAAAUUUUAGGGGGCUAGAGUUGUGGCUCAGUGGUAGAGUGUUUUCCUAGCAUGUAUGAGGCAAUAGGUUAAAUCCUCAGCCCCACAUAAAAAUAAAUAAAUAAUCCCACUCUCAGACAUCCUGCCUUGCCAUGUGUUCUCUCCCUUUUGCAUGAGCUCCCACUAGGAUGCCAUUUAUCAUAUGAUGCAGCUAGGGGGCCCUCACCAGAGCUGGCACCAUGCUAUUUGGACUUUCAGCCUCCAUAACUGUGAGUUAAAAAUAAAUAAUAAAUAAAUGGUCCAUCAACAACUGAAAAAUAUAUUUUUUUAAAGUUUCCAAAUGGGGCUGGGGUUGUGGCUCAAUGGUAGAGUGCUUGCCUAGCAUGUGUGAGGCACUGGGUUCAAUCCUCAGCACCACAUAUAAAUAAAUAAAUAGAUAAAUAAAUAAAAGUUUUUUUUUAAGUUUCCAAAUCUUUAAAAAAAUGUAUUUUAGUUUUGUCAAAUGCUCUUAAAGAAAUACACAAAAGCUUGAAAUUUUACUUUAUAUAAAGGGUAAGAGGGAAACCUUCAUAUAUAGGUAAUAUGUAAGCUAGGGCACUCCUAUAAUACCAGCAACUGGGCAGGGGCAGGUAGAGAGACAGGAGGACCACAAGUUCCAGAACAAUAUUGGCUAUUUAGCAAAGCCCUAAGCAAUUUAGCAAGAAC
RNAcentral lists this long non-coding RNA (768 nucleotides) under Marmota monax (woodchuck). The stretch from base 412 to 480 matches the Rfam family "tRNA". The record is from RNAcentral. Lineage: Eukaryota; Metazoa; Chordata; Mammalia; Rodentia; Sciuridae.